CCUACGGGGGGCAGCAGUGGGGAAUAUUGGGCAAUGGGCGCAAGCCUGACCCAGCAACGCCGCGUGAAGGAAGAAGGCUUUCGGGAUGUAAACUUCUUUUCUGAGGGACGAAGAAAGUGACGGUACCUCCGGAAUAAGCCACGGCUAACUACGUGCCAGCCGCCGUGGUUAUACGUAGGUGGCAAGCGUUAUCCGGAUUUAUUGGGUGUAAAGGGUGUGUAGGUGGGAGAGCAAGUCAGAUGUGAAAACUCAGGGCUCAACCCUGACCCUGCAUUUGAAACUGGUUUUCUUGAGUGCUGGAGAGGCAAUCGGAAUUCCGUGUGUAGCGGUGAAAUGCGUAGAUAUACGGAGGAACACCAGUGGCGAAGGCGGAUUGCUGGACAGUAACUGACGCUGAGGCGCGAAAGCGUGGGGAGCAAACAGGAUUAGAUACCCGAGUAGUC
This 443-nucleotide ribosomal RNA is filed under the name uncultured bacterium. RNAcentral describes it as "partial 16S ribosomal RNA". It matches the Rfam family "Bacterial small subunit ribosomal RNA", at positions 338 to 795 of the family's 1533-position model. The record is from RNAcentral.